Molecule: ribosomal RNA, 241 nt
Filed under: uncultured bacterium
Lineage: Bacteria
Description: partial 16S ribosomal RNA
Rfam family: Bacterial small subunit ribosomal RNA
Source: RNAcentral
CAGGUGGCGACACCGCGCGGAACCCGAAAGCCGUUCUCAGUUCGGAUCGGAGUCUGNAACCCGACUCCGUGAAGCUGGAUUCGCUAGUAAUCGCGCAUCAGCCAUGGCGCGGUGAAUACGUUCCCGGGCCUUGUACACACCGCCCGUCAAGCCAUGGGAGCCGGGGGUGCUUGAAGUGCGUCGCCGCAAGGCGCGCCCUAGAGCAAAACCGGUGACUGGGGCUAAGUCGUAACAAGGUAUC